Molecule: ribosomal RNA, 439 nt
Filed under: uncultured bacterium
Lineage: Bacteria
Description: bacterial SSU rRNA
Rfam family: Bacterial small subunit ribosomal RNA
Source: RNAcentral
AACGCGAAGAACCUUACCUGGGUUUGACAUGCACAGGACGACGGCAGAGAUGUCGUUUCCCUUGUGGCCUGUGUGCAGGUGGUGCAUGGCUGUCGUCAGCUCGUGUCGUGAGAUGUUGGGUUAAGUCCCGCAACGAGCGCAACCCUUAUUUCAUGUUGCCAGCGCGUAAUGGCGGGGACUCGUGAGAGACUGCCGGGGUCAACUCGGAGGAAGGUGGGGAUGACGUCAAGUCAUCAUGCCCCUUAUGUCCAGGGCUUCACACAUGCUACAAUGGCCGGUACAAAGGGCUGCGAUGCCGCGAGGCUUAGCGAAUCCUUUAAAGCCGGUCUCAGUUCGGAUCGGGGUCUGCAACUCGACCCCGUGAAGUCGGAGUCGCUAGUAAUCGCAGAUCAGCAACGCUGCGGUGAAUACGUUCCCGGGCCUUGUACACACCGACAUA